Molecule: long non-coding RNA, 3563 nt
Filed under: Gossypium raimondii (Peruvian cotton)
Lineage: Eukaryota; Viridiplantae; Streptophyta; Magnoliopsida; Malvales; Malvaceae
Description: long non-coding RNA (GRAI_LNC002768)
Source: RNAcentral
UGGGGCUUUCAGCUAAAAUCGAUGUCAGCCUUCGAACAAGAAUGAAAGGUUAAAGAUACCAGCUAUUUGUAAAUAGAGCAAAAAAUUACGUUGAUUACAUCAGAAGUUCCUAAAGUUUUUCUGUAUGAUUAUGACAUCAAUCUUAUGUAUGGUAUAAAUAGGGUAUUGUUUGCGGGUAUCUAAAAAGCUUGAACUCCUGAUCGUGUAAUGACUGUCAUCUAGCCCCUUGGUUAUACUCGAAGUCAUGACCGUAUCACAGUCGCCAAUUGGGACCUUCACGUUGACUUCGACCCCUAAUCGUAUAAAGUCAUGUCACCCCCAAAACCUGAUUUCCCCAAGAUGGAUUUCUCAAGUGAUUGUCUUAUCCUGCCAUGACAUAUGAAAUGUAUGUGUAUUAAGGCACGUUAUCACAUUUUUUAUCGAAAACCAUGAACACUUUCAAAAAACUAUAAGCCCUAAAAAACUCAAAACACUAAAAAAUUAAUAACCCUAACCCUGGAGAGAGAAUGUGAGAGUGCAUCCAGCUGGGCGCGCUUUCAUAUUGUCUCUCCUAAAAUAGGUAUAUUUUCCUAAUUAAAAUUAAAAUCAAUCUAAAGGCCUAAAUAAAAUAAAAAUAAAAACAACCUACAGGCCUUAUUUAGCCUUUCAACUGUCUCUCCUAACCAUCAUUCUUUUUCCUUGGAUCUUCAAAAAAAUCAGUCUACCAUCAUUACUUUUUCUUUUAUUUUCAGGAAAAAAAAUUUGAGACUUAAGAAGAUCGAAGAGAAUAGAAGCAGGUUAUUCCAUAAACCUAAAAUUGAAACAAGAAAGAAUUCUGUUGAGUAUAAAUCCUUUACGAAAAAGGAUUGAGAGAGCUACAAACAUUCAAAGCUUUUUAGUUUUUACAUUUUUUUGGUUUAUCUUACUAGUUUUAGGAUUGCUUUUAUUUUAUUUUUAAUUUAUUUGUUUUAUUUUGGAUUGGGCACUUGGGUUUAGUAAUUUUAAGGGAUUUGGGCCUGGUCUAGGUUGGUUUUUUUCUCAGCUUAGGCUAGGAUAUAUGACCAAAAAAAUAAAAAAAAAUGGUCAUCCAGUCCACGGUUCAAUCAGUUUUCCCCUUUAGUUUAAACUAGUAAACCAACUAGUUCAGUUCAGUUUCAACAACCAUGCAUUACAGUAGAAAUGAAUGAAUUUUUUAACGGAAGGAUCGAAUAGCUUUUUGAUAUGACAUAUAUGGGCUAAUUUAACCAUAUUUUAAGUAAAUGGGACAAAAUGCAAUUUGAUUCUUAGUAUAGGGAUCUCCAUGAUAUUUUUACCAUUGAUUAAUUGUUCUCAAAGCAUCUGAGUGAUAUUACCUUUGUUUAUGAAAUAUUGUUUUUGUUUUGUGUAAUUGGCAAAUGAGGCUGCUCAUUUGUUAGCUAUGACGACCUUAUGUUUUGCAAACCCUUUUGUUUGGGACUAUGCUUUUCCUAGUAUUUCUCAUAUUCUUGCUUUAGAUGUUUUAUUGAAGAUUUCAAAUCAGAAUUCUAACACGUAGGACCAAGUGUAUAGAGAAAGCCUGUUGAUUUGAGGUGUAGUUUUCCGUUUUUGGUUUCAUUAUUUAGGCUGGAGUUCUUGAUUUUAUUAAUGAAGUAUUUGUUUGAAAAAUUGUGUAACUUAAUUUCUGAAAAUAUAAAAGUAAAACUAAGAUUUAAAUUUUAAAAAUAGAUUAGGAUUGUAAAAGUGGUAUAAAUUAUGUGGCAAUAUAUAUAUAAAGAUAAUCGGUUAUUAUUUGGUACAAAUACAAUAGAGGUUUUUUAAUAUUAUAAGUAGGAUUAAAAAGUUACCAUUUGCUUUAUUUUUUUAUUUUUAAAAUAUCAUUUAAGGAUAUGUGGUGACUUCUUAAUCCCUUUUGUAAAGUUAAAAAAAAUUCUAUUUAUCAAAUAAUAAUCUAAAAGUAAUGUUCAUCACUAUUUUUAAAUUUUAUUAUUUAUUAAAUGUCAACUUAAUGAUUAAUUUAAUUUUAAUUAUAUUUACAAUAAUUUUGACAAUUAAAUAUUUAUGUUUUUCCAAACAAAACGUAUUAGUGGGAUUGAAAAAGUAGUGGAUCUAAUUGAUGGCAAUCAAAGACAGUGGAAUGCUGAGUAGGUUAAGGCAUUUGUUACUGACUAGGAGGUGCGCCAAAUCUUGAGUAUCCCAUUAGCAUCUCACAAUUUGGUGGAUCGAUGGAAAUGGUACCCGAAGGAGUCUGGAGAGUAUAUCGUCUGUAGUGGCUAUAGGUUGCUACUAAGAGGGUUCCCGACGACAGAGGGAGAUAGAUAUAACAAUAUUGGACAGGAUACAAGAACUAUUUAUAGGAAACUAUGGGAAGCUAAUGUUCCUGAAAGAUGAAAAUUACAUUUUGGUGAUUCAUUAACAAUUAUAUUCCCACAAAGGCUAACCUGUUUCAGCGAAGAAUUGGGACGAACAGAAUGUGCCCACGUUGUGGUAAAGGCCCAGAAACAGAUCUUCGUGCGUGCAGAGAUUGCCCUGGUGUCCCAGAAAGUUGGCAAAAAUUAGGAGUUAGUUGGACACUAUCAAGGAAUCAGUAGAUAUACCAUUGCAUGGAUUGGACAGUUUUUUGGGAAAGAUGCGAAACAAGUACAUAUAUCCAUUAUCACAAUUUCGGUCAUAUGGAACUCUAAAACAAAAUCAUUCAUGAAGCAAUUUACCAAUCGAUUCAGACUUUACUUAUCUUUGUGUUGGGUUAUGAACGAGAGAUGGAUUCCUUGUUGGUGGAGCGCAAAUGUACUGAGGGUGAUGCAUUACUGGUUUGGAAGCCACCCAUUGCUCCUUGGGUUCGUGUAAAUUUCGAUGCUGAUUUCUAUGGUCACCUGCGGGCUCUGAGCACGGCUGCGGUUGUCAGGGAUUCAGAGGGGUUUCUGCUUGGCUCAGCUUUUUUUUGGCAAGACCAUGUACCUUGUGCAUUGGCUAUGAAGGCUCUGGCCCGUGUGCAUGCCACCCGAUUUGCCGAUGACCUGAGAUUUCAACAUGUAGAGCUGGAAGGGGACUCAGCAGUUGUCAUAUCCAAACUCAAGAACGCUGCUACAAAAAAUCAAGGUCGCUCACUUGUUGGCUCGAGAAGGUCUUCUCUGGAAGCAUGAUGUGUGCUGGAUGGAGGAAGGGCCAUCGUCGAUCCAGGAGGUGGUCGAUCGAGAAAGGAGGAGAGGGUCUUUCGACUGCUGAUAGUGCUAUGUUUGUCAAAGCUGUGAAAUAGUUCGAGAUAUUUUUUUUGCAAUGAUUGAAAUGGGCUCAUACCAAGGACGAUGGUCGACAGUAGAUUUUGACGGUAUUGGACCCUUACCGAAAAUACGGGUGAAGAACAGGAAGAUGAUAAGUUUUUGCUAGUUUUCUUUAGGUAAACUAUACCCAUUGUCAUUUUUGUUUACCUUAGGUUACGUUUUAGUCACUUAUGUUUGAAAUGUUAUAUUUUAGUAUUUACGUUAUCAUGUUGUAACAUUUUAGUCACUGAGCCAUUAAUCGUCGUUAAUGGUGUAACGGUAAGCUGACAUGGCACGUUAAAUCAUCAUUUCAAACAAAAUUUUAAGUUAAAUUAUACAAUUGAUCCC